GACGAACGAUGGCGGCGUGCUUAACACAUGCAAGUCGAGCGGAAAGGCCCUUCGGGGUCCUCGAGCGGCGAACGGGUGAGUAACACGUGAGUAACCUGCCCCAGACUUUGGGAUAACCCUCGGAAACGGGGGCUAAUACCGGAUACGACACAGCUUCGCAUGGGGUCUGUGUGGAAAGUUUUUCGGUUUGGGAUGGGCUCGCGGCCUAUCAGCUUGUUGGUGGGGUGAUGGCCUACCAAGGCGACGACGGGUAGCCGGCCUGAGAGGGCGACCGGCCACACUGGGACUGAGACACGGCCCAGACUCCUACGGGAGGCAGCAGUGGGGAAUAUUGCACAAUGGGCGGAAGCCUGAUGCAGCGACGCCGCGUGAGGGAUGACGGCCUUCGGGUUGUAAACCUCUUUCAGCAGGGACGAAGCGUAAGUGACGGUACCUGCAGAAGAAGCGCCGGCCAACUACGUG
Molecule: ribosomal RNA, 462 nt
Filed under: uncultured bacterium
Lineage: Bacteria
Description: partial 16S ribosomal RNA
Rfam family: Bacterial small subunit ribosomal RNA
Source: RNAcentral